RNAcentral lists this ribosomal RNA (499 nucleotides) under uncultured bacterium. RNAcentral's name for it is "partial 16S ribosomal RNA". It matches the Rfam family "Bacterial small subunit ribosomal RNA", at positions 28 to 507 of the family's 1533-position model. The record is from RNAcentral.
GACGAACGCUGGCGGCGUGCUUAACACAUGCAAGUCGAACGGGCCUGUCUUCUUUUUUGGGGGUGGGUUGAGUGGCGAACGGGUGAGUAUCACGUGAGUAACCUGCCCAUCGGUCCUGGAUAACCGCUUGAAAGGGCGGCUAAUACGGGGUGGUCCGGUUGGUCCGCAUGGGCUGGUCGGGAUAGAUUCACUGUUUUUGGUGUUUCGGCGGGGGAUGGGCUCGCGGCCUAUCAGCUUGUUGGUGGGGUGAUGGCCUACCAAGGCGGUGACGGGUAGCCGGCCCGAGAGGGUGGGCGGCCACACUGGGACUGAGAUACGGCCCAGACUCCUGCGGGAGGCAGCAGUGGGGGGUAUUGCACAAUGGGCGGAAGCCUGAUGCAGCGACGUCGCGUGAGGGAUGGAGGCCUUCGGGUUGUGAACCUCUGUUUCCGGUGGUGAAGGCCCUGUCCGUGUGGUGGGGUUGACGGUAGCCGGGGAUGAAGCGCCGGCUAACUACGUG